GUAAAGUAUAUAUUGUGAUGGGGUUUGAUUACUACUCUGCCCAUGUUUUAUCCAUCUUUUACUUUAUUUUUCAUGGCAAAUAAAGGAUGAAAUACUAGUCAUAAAAGAUUUAUUUUUAAAUUUUUUAUUUAAUUUUAUGGAGAUAGAGGGCCUAGAAGGUGUUUGAUAAAAUGUGUGAAUAGAGAAAAAGGUGAAAAAUAGUGAAGAACAAGACUUGGUUAUUGUCGUUGUGCUCCACACUCUUCAAUAGUAUCAAAUGGUACAGUUUACUUCUUCACAGGGAAUUAUAUUGAAUAGUAUCAGAUGGACGCAUGUUUGUACUUGACGUCCUUGUUCGUUGUUGCUCUUUCAUAUAUUACCAGGACUCUUCUUUGUUUAAUACUUGUUUUCUUUGAGUAGUUUCAAAGUUUAACUAACUUCUUUUCUGCUUGAAUCGAUAGUGAUGGACGUGUCUAACAUAAAAAUAGGUCGUUGAUAAUAGCAAAUUCCCAAAUUUAAGAUCGAUUCUGUUGAAUUUGAAACACUCACACUAGGGUCCUUGCCGCCAACUUUUCAAGAUUGGCUCUGCUGUUGGUGGUACUUAUUUUAGCUCAUGAAUUGGAGGUAGUAGAGGAUGCAGAAUGCAAGUUUAUUUGAAGCCAAGUUUUAUUCAAGGUCAUUGAGUUGGGUUGAUAGAAG
Cucumis melo (muskmelon) is the source of this 678-nucleotide long non-coding RNA. RefSeq lists it as uncharacterized. The transcript is spliced from 3 exons. NCBI's taxonomy places the organism in Eukaryota, Viridiplantae, Streptophyta, Magnoliopsida, Cucurbitales, Cucurbitaceae. The record is from RefSeq and is a predicted model, not a curated record.